GAUGAACGCUGGCGGCGUGCUUAACACAUGCAAGUCGAACGGAAAGGCCCAAGCUUGGUGGGGUGCUCGAGUGGCGAACGGGUGAGUAACACGUGGGUGACCUGCCCUGCACUUCGGGAUAAGCUUAGGAAACUGGGUCUAAUACCGGAUAGGAGCUCUUCUUGGAUGUUGGGGUGGUGAGCUUUUGCGGGGUGGGUUGUGAUGGCGGCCUUUCUGGCUGUUGGUGUGGGAUAGGCCUACCAAGGGGUCGACGGGUAGGCGGCCUGGGAGGGUGUACGGCCACAUUGGGGCCGAGAAACGGCCCAGAGUGCUACGGGGGGGAACAGGGGGGAAUAUUGCCCAAAUGGGGCGAGGCAGAAGGAGCGACCGCGCCGUGAGGAUGGAGGCCUUCCGGUUGUAAACCCCUUUCCUUAGGGGCCAAAGGGUUAGUGACGGUAACUGGUGAAGAAGCACCGGCUAACUACGUG
RNAcentral lists this ribosomal RNA (467 nucleotides) under uncultured bacterium. RNAcentral describes it as "partial 16S ribosomal RNA". It matches the Rfam family "Bacterial small subunit ribosomal RNA", at positions 28 to 507 of the family's 1533-position model. The record is from RNAcentral.